This is a long non-coding RNA of Oncorhynchus tshawytscha (Chinook salmon), 2233 nucleotides long. The record is from Ensembl. Lineage: Eukaryota; Metazoa; Chordata; Actinopteri; Salmoniformes; Salmonidae.
CGGUACCUAAAGAAAUAGCACUACAUCACUGACUAUAAUUGGUUGAAUCUGUAAUGCCACUAUAGUUACACAUCUUUGUUUUGAAUUUUACUUACUUUUUGUAAAGACUGAAAAGUCUCAUCAUAAAAGUAUUUUGUUAAAACUGACUACCUGUCUCUUUACUGGACAUAAUACGUUCCUAUGGGAUUUUACCUAAAGUGACGUGUUCAGGGCAGAUUUUCUGUCAUUUUUCUUAAAAUUGAAACAGAACAGAAUAUCAUGCUAGUUGGUGCUAGUUCCGGGACGGAAACAUUAGCCAGGAGUAGUCAACCCGGGUUGCGGUUAGCUAGCUGUGAUGAUCCAGAUGAAAAGGUUCAGAGUUUGUGGUAGGAAUUUGGGGAUAUGGAGAGAAAAAUAGGUCCUGUGUGCUCUGGUUUGAAACGCGUUGUAUGAACUGGCGAGAGCUUUCCGAGCUUAAGGUUAGCUGAUGACCGCUAGCAGUGGUUAGCUGACUGAUAGCUGGUAGCUAGCUUCAGUUGAGGUAUUCCAGUUCGAGGUAAAUACAAAUACUUUAGGGAAAAAACAAAACAGAUCCACACCACAUUGGGUGAGGCGGGUUGCAGGAGAGUAUUUUGAAGUUGAGGUUUAGGAAAAAUAUUAAAAAGAACGCGAAGAAAAAGAUAUAUACACAUGGGACGAGACAAGACAAAGACAAGGACGUCUGACUGCUACGCCAUCUUGGAUUGCAAGGAAAGCUGGAAUCCAACUUUUGAAAGUUGGAUCCUUUUAUCCUUUUGAGGCUUUCGUACAAUAUGAUUUUGAGCAUUUAAAGCCACUGGGAAACGUCCAUGGCAGGCAUUGUUGUCACUUUAGCUUCCUACAUAACUUCUGAGUGAUAGAAAGCACAAGUACCACCACCAAUCAGCCUACACCACUGCACACACACCCGUCGUUACUAUGACAACUAGUGUAGACAUUUCAGCAAAUGACUGCUGUCUGAACACACGUGAAUCUGAUUUGGUCACUUGUAACUUGCUGUUUGGACAGUCAAUAUUCUAAAACAGAGUUGAAAAACCAAACUGAUUUGAGCAUUAAAGGCCUGCAGUGUGAACAAGGCUUUAGACAAAAGCAGAAGUGCUGACACAUACCAUUGGCAGUACAGUACAGUACAGCACAGGCCUGCAGUGUGAACAAGGCUUUAGUCUCACAUCGACCUCUACAUGCAACAGCAUUAUUAUACAACUCGAACCAGUAGUCCUUCCAGAAGAUCAGUAACUCUAGCAGAGGUCCAGUAGUUCUUCCCUAAGAGCAGUAACUCUAGCAGAGGUCCAAUAGUGCUUCCAGAAGAGCAGUAACUCUAGCAGAAGUCCAAUAGUCCUUCCAGAAGAGCAGUAACUCUAGCAGAAGUCCAGUAGUCCUUCCAGAAGAGCAGUAAUUCUAGCAGAGGUCCAAUAGUACUUCCAGAAGAGCAGUAACUCUAGCAGAAGUCCAAUAGUCCUUCCAGAAGAGCAGUAACUCUAGCAGAAGUCCAGUAGUCCUUCCAGAAGAGCAGUAAUUCUAGCAGAGGUCCAAUAGUCCUUCCCGAAGAGCAGUAACUCUAGCAGAGGUCAAAUAGUUAUUCCAGAAGAGCAGUAACUCUAGCAGAGGUCCAAUAGUCCUUCCAGAAGAGCAGUAACUCUAGCAGAGGUCCAAUAGUCCUUCCAGAAGAGCAGUAACUCUAGCAGAGGUCAAAUAGUUAUUCCAGAAGAGCAGUAACUCUAGCAGAGGUCCAAUAGUCCUUCCAGAAGAGCAGUAACUCUAGCAGAGGUCCAAUAGUCCUUCCAGAAGAGCAGUAACUCUAGUAGAGGUGAUGAAGUCUCCAUGUUGGUUUAACUGUAAAAGGACUUUCUCAGUACAUCUGCUGAGCUUUCUACCAGCACUCUUAAAAGUUCUUCACAACUUGUUUUUGCCUCAGAACUAACACUCUUGAUUAAAAUAAUAAAGUUAUCAUCAAGCAUUUGAUUUGAAUCAUGUGUAUUAGUCCAGCCCUUUGGGUUCCCAGGAUCAGGAUUAGAGCCAGGACCAGGAUUAGAACCAGGAUCAGGAUUAGAGCCAGGACCAGGAUUAGAACCAGGAUCGGGAUUAGAACCAGGAUCAGGAUUAGAACCAGGACCAGGAUUAGAACCAGGAUCAGGAUUAGAACCAGGACCAGGAUUAGAACCAGGAUCGGGAUUAGAACCAGGAUCAGGAUUAGAACCAGGACCAGGAUUAGAAC